CUCCAUGGGGUGCCCUUCCGGGCUGAGAGGCCGAACCGGCCAACCCAUCGAACCUGAACCGGAUCAUACCGGCGGAGGGAUGGAU
This 85-nucleotide non-coding RNA is filed under the name Microvirga massiliensis. Its description in RNAcentral is "TPP riboswitch (THI element)". It matches the Rfam family "TPP riboswitch aptamer (THI element)", at positions 7 to 92 of the family's 105-position model. From Rfam's summary of the family: Vitamin B(1) in its active form thiamin pyrophosphate (TPP) is an essential coenzyme that is synthesised by coupling of pyrimidine and thiazole moieties in bacteria. The previously detected thiamin-regulatory element, thi box was extended, resulting in a new, highly conserved RNA secondary structure, the THI element, which is widely distributed in eubacteria and also occurs in some archaea. The record is from RNAcentral. Lineage: Bacteria; Pseudomonadati; Pseudomonadota; Alphaproteobacteria; Hyphomicrobiales; Methylobacteriaceae.